This is a long non-coding RNA of Cyprinus carpio carpio, 2555 nucleotides long. Lineage: Eukaryota; Metazoa; Chordata; Actinopteri; Cypriniformes; Cyprinidae. The record is from Ensembl.
AUUACAUGGUAUUACAUAUUUAUGUUUCACCAAGAAAAAAAUGUCUCUCUUGUCAUCUCAAACCCAUGUGCUGUUUAAUUUUUUAGGUAAAACAGAAAAAAAAAAUAAAAAAAAUAAAAAAAUAAAUAAAUAGAAUAAAAUAAAAUUAAUUGAAAUAACAAAAUGAAAUAAAUACAUAAAUGGGGUAGUUUUCAUUCAGAAAUUGCUAACAAAUUUCACAUAAAAAAAUAUAAAGCAAUUACAAUUAACAUGUUGAAUUAAAUGUGAAAUUUUGAAGUAGAAAGACUGAAAUAGGGUAAAGCGUACACCAGUAAUCUUUGUUUUUGUCAUUGUUAUGGUCUGUUUUGCUUCGGUUUCUGUUUCCACAUUUCCCUGAGUUCCUGUGUCUAUUAGUUUCCAUGGUUUUUGAUUAAUUAGCUCCACAGUUGUUUCAGUUCUCCCUAAUUAAGUUUCUGUACUUAAGUUUUGUGUUCUCCCCUGGUCGUUGGUCCGCUAUUGAAGUUGAUUUGGAUUUGUGUUGCUGAAUGCUGGAUUUAUUCCUGGAUUCUUGAUUAAAAACCCUUUUUAACUUUGUUACUUCAUUGUGUGCUUCCUUUUUAGCCAGCUCACAUGUUACAGAAUAGCGGACCCCCAAGUGAGAAAAAUAUAGUGGUGUUUUUCUUUAGUUUCAUUUCUUUUUCCUUCGUUCUUCUGGAAUGGAUCUGCCAGCCGUGCAGCUCCUAUGCCUGGAGUAGUUGGACCGUUGGCUGGAGGACCAUGCCAGGGACUUUUUAGAUCUUGCGUGCCUUACUCACUAUCCUGACCGCUCGCUCUGUGUAUUUUAUAUCACCAACCUGAGCUAGCGGUGUAAGGCACGAGGGCUUGGAGGGAAGCCCUGCCCACACUCCUGCUGCUAAGGGUGAACUGCAGCUGGUCUCUGGACAUUAUUACUAUAAGAAACUUUUCAAAAAAUUAUUCAAUUGGAUUUAAAAGACUGGUUUGGAGAGGUUGUUCCCAGUUCCCCUGAACUUCGAUUGUCCCCUGCGUCUCCUGAGUCUCCGCUGUUUCUGUCCAGCUCUCCUGUGUCUCCUGGGUCUCCGCUAGUUCCGUCCAGCUCUCCUGUGUCUCCUAAGCUACCUGUGGCUCCUAAGCUCCCACCCAGCCUCCCUCUCCCGCCUCCUCUAAAACCAGCCAGUUCCUCAGUCCUAUCUCUGCUGGGGCCUGUCAGUCCCUCAGCUCACCCUCAGUCAACGCUAUCUGGUCGCUCUGAUCUGCCUCAGGACUUCCAGUCUCCAGCUCUGCCUUGGCGUGAGGAUCCCCUCUUUCCUCCUCCAGCUUCCAAGUCCUGGACUCCACCUCGGCCCCUUCUAUCCAAUGGCUCCACCUUGGCUCCUAGAUCCCUCGUCUCCACUGUGGCCCAUCAUCCCACCCACUCCUCCGGGCUCCCUCAUCCCUCCGGCUCCGCCUUGGAGGCUUCCUGCUAAAUGGGUAGACUUCAUUCUCUUAACAAGCAAUCGUGAUCCUCCAACCGCCCAAGAAGGUGCUGGAAAGCAGCAUAAGGUCGGCAGAUUCACGUCACCCUGGUACCGGAUGCCAAGCCUAAUAGUCUGAUUUUGGCCAGAACCUGAGGUGAACUAUGCCGUAAUGUGUUUGGAUAAUGAGAAGCUGUGCCUUUCUGUAGCGUUCUGUGAGCCGAUGCCAUACACCACAGGGCUUCCAUCAAAGUGACAUAGAAACUCUUUGCCAGUCAGCCAAUAGCCAUCCUGGAGAGGCUGACAGAUUUCUGGGCAGACCCUCCCUCGCUGCUCUCCGUUCUCCAGGGAAACUCUGGAGGCCUGUACUUGAGAGGGAGUGGGCAUCCGUAAGUGUGUCAUCUUGCAUGUCUUCUGUUUAGAGAUCAGUACUGAUUCUUCUUCUGUUGGUUUGAGAGAGAGCAGUUGGGGGUGGACUUUGAUCCGUUGGGUGUGUGUGUGUUUCCAUUGUGUGUUGGUGAGUAUUAUUGUCUGUGUAAAUAUUAAUAUUCAAGAACUUGGAUUUUUUAUUUAUUUAUUUACUUGUUUAACCAGGAAGGUCCCAUUGAGAUACAAUAUCUCUUCUACCAAGGAGUCCUGGUCAAGAUAGGCAGCAAAAGUCAAAGUUACAAAGAAAUACACAUCACCACACAGUGAACAAACAUAAAACACAAUUUUCUAAAAACAAUACAAAUCCUAGUCAGUUAUUAAAACAUGUGCACUGUUCUAUAUAAACAGAUUUAAAAAUAUUUUUAAACAUAGCAAGAGAUGUUACAGAUUCCAUAUGUAAUGUACCUUGAAGCUCAUUCCAUACAUACGGAGCAUAUCUAGAAAAAGCUGAACUUUUCUGUUUGAAAAAUCGGCAUCAUAAGUAAGAGUUUAUCUGUUGAUCUGGUAUUAUAAAUAUUUGUGCAAUAUGUCAACAAGCUAGAUAUAUUCUGUGGUAAUUUACCCCCUAAAGCUUUUAAAAUAAAAAUUAACAUAUGUUUUUUUUUUUUUUCAUCUUAAGUGCAAUGAAGUCCAUUUUGUAAUUUCAUAUAAAUUACAGUGAUGUGUGCGGACACU